Long non-coding RNA from Myotis davidii, 390 nucleotides. RefSeq lists it as uncharacterized. The record is from RefSeq and is a predicted model, not a curated record. The transcript has 3 exons. NCBI's taxonomy places the organism in Eukaryota, Metazoa, Chordata, Mammalia, Chiroptera, Vespertilionidae.
UUGACAGGAGGUUGAAACCUACUUUUUUGAAGGUUUGCUGAAAUGGAGAGAAUUGAACCUUACGGAACACUUUGGGAAAUUUUACAAAGAAGUUAUUGACAAAUGUCAAUCAUUCAAUCAGCUGGUCUAUCAUCAAAACGAGAUAGUUCAGAGUUUGAAGACUCACCUGCAAAUCAAGAACAGUUUUGCUUAUCAACCCCUUUUGGAUUUGGUUGUACAGCUGGCACGAGAUCUGCAGACAGACUUCUAUCCACAUUUUCGGGAUUUUUUUCUGACUGUCACCUCAAUCCUGGAGACUCAGGACACUGAGUUGUUAGAAUGGGCUUUCACCUCGCUGUCGUAUCUGUACAAGUACCUGUGGAGGCUCAUGGUGAAGGACAUGCCCAAUAU